Long non-coding RNA from Oryzias melastigma (Indian medaka), 247 nucleotides. RefSeq lists it as uncharacterized. Lineage: Eukaryota; Metazoa; Chordata; Actinopteri; Beloniformes; Adrianichthyidae. The transcript has 2 exons. The record is from RefSeq and is a predicted model, not a curated record.
UGUUUAGUUUAUGUGUUCCACCUUAAGAAAGAAAGAGAUGUUCCACCUUAACAAAGAAAUGUCAUUGUUGAUAAAGUUUGUUCAAGUUAGUGAGGUCACUUCCUGAAAAGGUUAAGAAGAGAAGGCUAAGAGAGACACAUGGUUCAGAGGUUCUCAUCAUCCAAUGCCAUCUGCAUUUAAGAUAGACAAACAAAUGUCUUUUUACUCCCUGUUCACUGAAAGAGUCCAGUAAAACGACUAAACUUUA